CUUCGGUCCUCUUCCUCGAGACUGAACGGUAUACUGCCGGGAAUACUCGAUAUACUGGAUCCCGGAAAGCCUGGAUGCGAUGAGCACGGUGUUCCCGGUUUUGAGAAAUGACAGGACAACAUUCUCAGCUCGUCCUUCGUCGACUUUUGAAAUUACCGAAACGUUGCUUGAGCCUGGUGUCGUUCCAUAUCCACUGGAAGGCAAACUGGCUACGGACCAUCGUCGCCCAUCGGCCGUACCAGAAGCACCGGCACCGAUUCUUUUUUGUUUCGUCAGAGUACAACAUUUGUGGAUUAUUCGAAAUUUCAACGUAAAUACUGAGUGAACUCAAUGGCCAAAGUUAACCUCACGGAUGUUGAUAAUAGAAUACGGACCUGGACGAACAGGAGCUUCUUUGCUAAUAGGCUUAGGAGGCUGGACUUGGCGAGCGGAAGACUCGAGCUCCGCGUUGCCAGGACUCUCGUCAUUUUCUACUUGAUCAAAGACCAAAACUCUGGCUGAAUUACCAUGGGACCUAAGACGAGGCAUGACUAUAAAACGAUAAAAUGGAGCAAAACAAUCCAACUUUUCGAAAUACGUUCGAGAAUAAAUAGAAAUUCUAUUCGACAGCAAAA
This 614-nucleotide long non-coding RNA is filed under the name Venturia canescens. Its description in RNAcentral is "uncharacterized LOC122414364, transcript variant X1". The record is from RNAcentral. Lineage: Eukaryota; Metazoa; Arthropoda; Insecta; Hymenoptera; Ichneumonidae.